UUUCCGUAGGUGAACCUGCGGAAGGAUCAUUAAAGAAUUUGCCCCGUCCUCUCGAGGAUGGGUCCUCUUCUAAACCGUGUAUACAUACCUUUGUUGCUUUGGCGGGCCGCCGUCUCGGCGUUGGCUCCGGCUGACUGUGCCCGCCAGAGAACCCCAACUCUUCUGUUUAGUAUUGUCUGAGUACUAUAUAAUAGUUAAAACUUUCAACAACGGAUCUCUUGGUUCUG
This 227-nucleotide unclassified non-coding RNA is filed under the name plant metagenome. RNAcentral's name for it is "partial contains small subunit ribosomal RNA, internal transcribed spacer 1, and 5.8S ribosomal RNA". The record is from RNAcentral.